UAAGAAGUUAACCUUGCAGGAGAGGUGGU
This 29-nucleotide non-coding RNA is filed under the name Macaca fascicularis (crab-eating macaque). RNAcentral also lists the same sequence under 1 other name. The record is from RNAcentral. Lineage: Eukaryota; Metazoa; Chordata; Mammalia; Primates; Cercopithecidae.